CGUAGGUGAACCUGCGGAAGGAUCAUUGUCGAAACCUGCAA
This 41-nucleotide ribosomal RNA is filed under the name Codonanthopsis calcarata. RNAcentral's name for it is "partial 18S ribosomal RNA". Lineage: Eukaryota; Viridiplantae; Streptophyta; Magnoliopsida; Lamiales; Gesneriaceae. The record is from RNAcentral.